AGCUUUGCACAGUGGCAGUAUCAUGGCCAAUGAGGGUUAUCAGAGGCUCGAUUAUUGCUAAUUGAAAACAAAAAUUCUUUGCUUACUUGUCUGCUACAUUCUUGCCUUAGAAUAAAUGUUACUUAUUUUUUGAGUGCAACAGUUAC
Small nuclear RNA from Mastomys coucha (southern multimammate mouse), 146 nucleotides. RefSeq annotates it as U4 spliceosomal RNA. NCBI's taxonomy places the organism in Eukaryota, Metazoa, Chordata, Mammalia, Rodentia, Muridae. The record is from RefSeq and is a predicted model, not a curated record. The transcript has a single exon.